This 230-nucleotide ribosomal RNA is filed under the name uncultured bacterium. RNAcentral describes it as "partial 16S ribosomal RNA". It matches the Rfam family "Bacterial small subunit ribosomal RNA", at positions 99 to 334 of the family's 1533-position model. The record is from RNAcentral.
CGGACGGGUGAGUAAUGUCUGGGAAACUGCCCGAUGGAGGGGGAUAACUACUGGAAACGGUAGCUAAUACCGCAUAACGUCGCAAGACCAAAGAGGGGACCUUCGGGCCUCUUGCCAUCGGAUGUGCCCAGAUGGGAUUAGCUAGUAGGUGGGGUAACGGCUCACCUAGGCGACGAUCCCUAGCUGGUCUGAGAGGAUGAUCAGCCACACUGGGACUGAGACACGGCCAG